GGCCGUUCAGCCUCGGGAUUUACACUCGGCUCGACACGGAUAUGUGAAGAAUGAAGGGACCCUGCAGCUAAACGGAGAGCCCAACCUCUGACUGAGUGCCUGUUUACGCAGUCUGACCACCUGUUGAAGGCUUUCCUCAGAUGAUUCGGGGGUACAGAGGAAAGGAGAACCUUGUUGUGGUUCAAAUGCAGAUGGCAUUUCACAUGCGAGAUCUUGGGAAUCAGGCAUGGAGGUGCUUCAGAAUGGGGACAUCAGUGCACAACCAGGAUAUGGAGAUGUACUGCACAUAGACCUUUUGGACUACGCCAAGCAAUUAAUCUGCGAGAGGAAGAGUCUUCACUGGUACCAAACCAGGAAUUCAGAGACAUGUGCCAGCACUUCGCUCUCGCUCUGCAGGCCUACUUGUUGUUCCUAGAGUAUUUAAAAGUAGAAUGGGAGGGAGAGCCUUCAGUUUUCAGGCCCCUCUUCUGUGGAACCAGCUUCCAGUUUGGAUUCGGGAGACAGACACUAUCUCUACUUUCAAGAUUAGGCUUAAAACUUUCCUUUUUGCUAAAGCAUAUAGUUAGGGCUGGACCAGGUGACCCUGAAUCCUCCCUUAGUUAUGCUGCAAUAGACGUAGGCUGCCGGGGAUUCCCAUGAUGCAUUGAGUUUUUCCUUUCCAGCCACUCACUAUGUGUUAAUAGACCUCUCUGCAUCGAAUCAUAUCUGUUAUUAAUUUCUGUCUCUCUUCCACAGCAUGUCUUUCAUCCUGUUUUCCUUCUUCACCCCAACCGGUCGCAGCAGAUGGCCGCCCCUCCCUGAGCCUGGUUCUGCCGGAGGUUUCUUCCUGUUAAAAGGGAGUUUUUCCUUCCCACUGUCGCCAAAGUGCUUGCUCAUAGGGGGUCAUAUGAUAUGAUUGUUGGGGUUUUCUCUGUAUUUAUUAUUGUGCGAUCUAUUGUACAAUAUAAAGCGCCUUGAGGCGACUUUUGUUGUGAUUUGGCGCUAUAUAAAUAAAAUUGAAUUGAAUUGAAUUGAAUUGAACAUUUUAGAAA
Long non-coding RNA from Oreochromis aureus, 1031 nucleotides. The record is from Ensembl. NCBI's taxonomy places the organism in Eukaryota, Metazoa, Chordata, Actinopteri, Cichliformes, Cichlidae.